RNAcentral lists this ribosomal RNA (199 nucleotides) under uncultured bacterium. RNAcentral describes it as "partial 16S ribosomal RNA". It matches the Rfam family "Bacterial small subunit ribosomal RNA", at positions 335 to 526 of the family's 1533-position model. The record is from RNAcentral. RNAcentral also lists the same sequence under 1 other name.
ACUCCUACGGGAGGCAGCAGUGGGGAAUAUUGCACAAUGGGCGCAAGCCUGAUGCAGCCAUGCCGCGUGUAUGAAGAAGGCCUUCGGGUUGUAAAGUACUUUCAGCGGGGAGGAAGGGAGUAAAGUUAAUACCUUUACUCAUUGACGUUACCCGCAGAAGAAGCACCGGCUAACUCCGUGCCAGCAGCCGCGGUAAUAC